GCGCCGGUAGUUCAGUAGGAAAGAACACCCGCCUGCUAAGCGGGAAGUCGUGGGUUCAAGGCCCACCCGGCGUA
RNAcentral lists this transfer RNA (74 nucleotides) under Chloroflexota bacterium. RNAcentral describes it as "Chloroflexi bacterium tRNA-Ser". It matches the Rfam family "tRNA". From Rfam's summary of the family: Transfer RNA (tRNA) molecules are approximately 80 nucleotides in length. Lineage: Bacteria; Bacillati; Chloroflexota. The record is from RNAcentral.